Molecule: ribosomal RNA, 1413 nt
Filed under: Triticum aestivum (bread wheat)
Lineage: Eukaryota; Viridiplantae; Streptophyta; Magnoliopsida; Poales; Poaceae
Description: partial small subunit ribosomal RNA
Source: RNAcentral
AUGGCCUCCCUCGCCGCCGCCUCCGCCUCCACGGCGCUCCUCUUCCCGCCCUCCACCUCCUCCUCCAAGCCCCGCCUCCCGCUCUCCACAUCCCUCGGCUUCUCCGCGCCCGCGCGGUCACGCCGCACGGCGGCCGCGGCGGCGGGGAGCUCCGGCAGGCGCCCGGGGCUGCUCGUCGUGCGCGCCGCCAGGGGCAAGUUCGAGCGGAACAAGCCCCACGUCAACAUCGGCACCAUCGGCCACGUCGACCACGGCAAGACCACCCUCACGGCCGCGCUCACCAUGGUGCUCGCCUCCGUCGGGGGCAGCGCGCCCAAGAAGUACGACGAGAUCGACGCCGCCCCCGAGGAGCGCGCCCGCGGUAUCACCAUCAACACCGCCACCGUCGAGUACGAGACGGAGACGCGCCACUACGCGCACGUCGACUGCCCCGGCCACGCCGACUACGUCAAGAACAUGAUUACCGGGGCCGCCCAGAUGGACGGCGCCAUCCUCGUCGUCUCCGGCGCCGACGGCCCCAUGCCGCAGACCAAGGAGCACAUCCUGCUCGCCAAGCAGGUCGGUGUCCCCAGCAUUGUUGUUUUCCUCAACAAGAAGGACCAGGUCGACGACGAGGAGCUGCUCGAGCUCGUCGAUCUCGAGGUCCGCGAGCUGCUCACGGCCUAUGAGUACGAUGGUGACAAUGUGCCAAUCGUCUCCGGCUCUGCACUCAGAGCGCUCGAGGCCCUCAUGGCCACCCCUGGCCUCAAGCGUGGGGAUAACGAGUGGGUGGAUGGCAUCUUCUCCUUGAUUGAUUCCGUGGAUACCCACAUCCCUGUCCCGCAGAGGCAGACCGACCUCCCCUUCUUGCUCGCUGUUGAGGAUGUCUUCUCCAUCACUGGUCGUGGUACAGUUGCCACUGGCCGUAUCGAGCGUGGCACCGUCAAGGUUGGGGACCCAGUCGACCUCGUGGGCAUCAGGGAGACCCGCAAUGCCACCGUCACUGGUGUUGAGAUGUUCCAGAAGACCAUGGAUGAUGCCAUUGCUGGGGACAAUGUUGGGCUUCUGCUCCGUGGUAUGCAGAAGGAAGACAUUGAGAGAGGCAUGGUGUUGGCAAAGCCCGGUUCCAUCACGCCACACACCAAGUUUGAGGCUGUUGUGUAUGUGCUCAAGAAGGAGGAGGGUGGCCGGCACUCCCCAUUUUUCCCUGGUUACCGUCCGCAAUUCUACAUGCGGACUACUGAUGUCACGGGGAAUGUGACAAACAUUAUGAACGACAAGGAUGAGGAGGCAAAGAUGUGCAUGCCGGGUGACCGUAUCAAGAUGGUUGUGGAGCUCAUCCAGCCUGUGGCUUGUGAGCAGGGAAUGAGGUUUGCCAUCCGUGAAGGUGGCAAGACCGUCGGUGCCGGUGUCAUCAAUAAUAUCAUUCAGUAA